Molecule: ribosomal RNA, 459 nt
Filed under: uncultured bacterium
Lineage: Bacteria
Description: partial 16S ribosomal RNA
Rfam family: Bacterial small subunit ribosomal RNA
Source: RNAcentral
AACGAACGCUGGCGGCAGGCCUAACACAUGCAAGUCGAACGAGAAGCCACCUUCGGGUGGUGGAAAGUGGCGGACGGGUGAGUAACGCGUGGGAACGUGCCUUUCGGUUCGGGAUAACCCAGGGAAACUUGGGCUAAUACCGGAUACGCCCUCCGGGGGAAAGAUUCAUUGCCGAAAGAUCGGCCCGCGUCGGAUUAGCUAGUUGGUGGGGUAAUAGCCUACCAAGGCGACGAUCCGUAGCUGGUCUGAGAGGAUGACCAGCCACACUGGGACUGAGACACGGCCCAGACUCCUACGGGAGGCAGCAGUGGGGAAGAUUGGACAAUGGGCGAAAGCCUGAUCCAGCCAUGCCGCGUGGGUGAAGAAGGCCUUAGGGUUGUAAAUCCCUUUCAGCGGGGACGAUAAUGACGGUACCCGCAGAAGAAGUCCCGGCUAACUCCGUGCCAGCCGCCGCCGUAA